GACGAACGCUGGCGGCGUGCUUAACACAUGCAAGUCGAACGGAAAGGCCCUGCUUGCAGGGUACUCGAGUGGCGAACGGGUGAGUAACACGUGGGUGAUCUGCCCUGCACUUUGGGAUAAGCCUGGGAAACUGGGUCUAAUGCCGGAUAGGAGCCAUUUUUAGUGUGAUGGUUGGAAAGUUUUUUUCGGUGUAGGAUGAGCUCGCGGCCUAUCAGCUUGUUGGUGGGGUAAUGGCCUACCAAGGCGGCGACGGGUAGCCGGCCUGAGAGGGUGGACGGCCACAUUGGGACUGAGAUACGGCCCAGACUCCUACGGGAGGCAGCAGUGGGGAAUAUUGCACAAUGGGCGCAAGCCUGAUGCAGCGACGCCGCGGGGGGGAUGACGGCCUUCGGGUUGUAAACUCCUUUCGCUAGGGACGAAGCUUUUUGUGACGGUACCUAGAUAAGAAGCACCGGCUAACUACGUG
This 466-nucleotide ribosomal RNA is filed under the name uncultured bacterium. Its description in RNAcentral is "partial 16S ribosomal RNA". It matches the Rfam family "Bacterial small subunit ribosomal RNA", at positions 28 to 507 of the family's 1533-position model. The record is from RNAcentral.